RNAcentral lists this ribosomal RNA (578 nucleotides) under Entoloma violaceotinctum. RNAcentral describes it as "LSU rRNA". It matches the Rfam family "Eukaryotic large subunit ribosomal RNA", at positions 65 to 647 of the family's 3401-position model. Lineage: Eukaryota; Fungi; Basidiomycota; Agaricomycetes; Agaricales; Entolomataceae. The record is from RNAcentral.
CUAACAAGGAUUCCCCUAGUAACUGCGAGUGAAGAGGGAAAAGCUCAAAUUUAAAAUCUGGCAGUCUUUUGAUUGUCCGAGUUGUAAUCUAGAGAAGCAUUAUCCGUGCUGGACCCAUGUAUAAGUCUCCUGGAAUGGAGUGUCAUAGAGGGUGAGAAUCCCGUCUUUGACAUGGACUUACCAGUGCUUUGUGAUGUGCUCUCAAAGAGUCGAGUUGUUUGGGAAUGCAGCUCUAAAUGGGUGGUAAAUUCCAUCUAAAGCUAAAUAUUGGCGAGAGACCGAUAGCGAACAAGUACCGUGAGGGAAAGAUGAAAAGAACUUUGGAAAGAGAGUUAAACAGUACGUGAAAUUGUUGAAAGGGAAACGCUUGAAGUCAGUCACAUUGACUAGGAAUCAACCUUGCUUACUUGCUUGGUGUAGUUUCUGGUUAAUGGGUCAGCAUCAAUUUUGAUCAAUGGAAAAAGAUUAAGGGAAUGUGGCAUCUUUGGAUGUGUUAUAGCCUUUGAUUGUAUACAUUGGUUGGAAUUGAGGAACUCAGCACUUGUUGUUUAGGAUGCUGGCAUAAUGGCUUUAAUCGA